AACACAUUAUAAAGUUUAUUAUUAUCACUAUGGUAACCAUGUUUAUGUUUGUUACCUGCUAACUCAAACACAUUCUGUAGGUGUCACAUUUUGAGGACUGUAAGUUCACACACUUUCAGACUUUUGCAAACCGGAGUUGGAGAUUGCAGAGAGAAGGCGAAGUGAUAAUAAAGGAGGAUACUGUGGGUGUUGGAGAGGACCCACUGAAAAAUGUGAGUGCACGAAAGGAUCUCACAGAUGAACAUGUGGCCCCUGACACUCCAGCCACCUCUUCUGCACCAGUCUCACCUCCAGCUGAGGCUCAGACGAACAAAUCAAAGAAGGCUUCCUGGUGGCGCAGAUGGCUUUUUUGUGAGAAAAAGUCAAAGGUUUUUCCCAAAAAUGAAGACAAGGCAGAAGACACGGUCGUGCCACCUUCUGAACCCCAACAGAGGUACGAU
Long non-coding RNA from Oreochromis niloticus (Nile tilapia), 440 nucleotides. RefSeq lists it as uncharacterized. The transcript has 4 exons. The record is from RefSeq and is a predicted model, not a curated record. Lineage: Eukaryota; Metazoa; Chordata; Actinopteri; Cichliformes; Cichlidae.